Long non-coding RNA from Phycodurus eques (leafy seadragon), 4555 nucleotides. RefSeq lists it as uncharacterized. NCBI's taxonomy places the organism in Eukaryota, Metazoa, Chordata, Actinopteri, Syngnathiformes, Syngnathidae. The record is from RefSeq and is a predicted model, not a curated record. The transcript has 5 exons.
ACAUGAUUAAAAAUAAAAAAAGGACAGGGCGGCUGGCUUGUUUCAACCCAGAAAAGCGUUUAUUCGCUUCACUUCUAGAGCAGCAACAACUUGCUCGUUGUGACAGCUAGCUACAGGUAGCUCUGACUACCCAACGCAAUUUUGAGGAGCAAAGGAUUAUGGAGUUUGUCUAUGAAUAUCACGCAUCUCUGUGUCCCCUGAGGCCUGUUUCCUGUAGACGAGACCAAAUGCUCUGGAUACGACCCGCAUGUUCCGGAUGGCUGUUUGUGUUGCCACACAUACACUGGUGCUUUUGCAUCAAUGAGUCAUACACCAGACCUGAACGAUAAACGACACCAAAGAAACGUGAAACGUGGCUUGACCGCCGGCUCCGGCACCAUCAUGGGGAAGGAGGAGGAGGCCGGAGAGGACUGGGCCCUGGAAAGCGGGCGGUGCCCCGCCAAGCUGACCGACAAACUGGCCGCCUCCAUCGACGCCCGAUAGCUCCUCAACUGGUGGAUACGUUGUUGCUCCAACAGCAGGGUCUGCUGCUUUAACACCCGUACACACACACGCACGCACGCGCACACGCACAUUCUCUUCAGUGAGAUGCACACAUUCCGGUGAUCGGGCCCAUUUUGAGCAUUUUUCCGAUCAAAAUCAACAAAGACCGCUAAUCAGAUGUCUGUGAAAGAUUAUUCUCUGGUGUGGGGUGUGUGAAGUGAUUUUUCCUCCACGCUCGAAUAACAGUCGGGGCCAACAAAUCCUUAUGUGUGUGGUCAACACCAAGUUCGGCCAAGCUACAGACUCCGUGAUAGUGAUGUGAUUUGAAGUGAUUGCCGGUGGGGCUAUCGUAUUGUUUGCUGGUUGUUUCCUAGUCAUUUGUGGGAUCUCUCACAUUUUAAAAGUAAGAAAAUCGCUGUGUGGACAGUGAAUGCCCGCCUAUUUGCAGUUUGAUAUUCACAAUAUUACAUAUCUGUGUUUGUUUUUUCUCUGGAGCCAAUUUAUCCUUAGCUAUUCACUUUAAAAAAAAAAAAAAAAAAAAAAAAAAAAGCUAUUUCCAUAUUGUUGUGCUCUUUCUACGACAACCUAAUAUGCCACAAGAUGGCGCCAAAUCCCUGGCUUGUUUUGGUCAAGGAAGAGAAUUGUUGAAGUGAUACAUCUCGACUGAAUCUUAAGAUCUUUGUAUGUCAGGGAUCAUCUAAGUUCAGCCUGGGUUGUUAGUGAAAGUUUUAUGGAGUCUUCAGUACAUGUGCAUGUAAAUGUGCACUUCUGGUGCAGUUUUUUUCUUUAAAUCAAAUAAUCUGUUAGCCAUUUAUUUUUUAGUAUGAUGAAUUUGAAAAUGUUGGAUCAUAGUUUGUGGUAUAUUUACUGUUUCAACUAUUAUUAUAGUCAAUUCAAACAUUUUGGGGGGGGGCUAUCAAAUACUCAUGUUUUUUCGCUAUUCACUUAGGGCCACAUCCUCCCGUAUGUUCCACGCUUUUCUGUCUGCGCCCAUUCUGCGCGUCUUCUGGCCAUGUGCGCACUUUGGGUGGAGUAACCCUAAAGUGUGGGCGUUCCCUCUCAUAUCUGGCCUUGCAGUUAUUCUGCCCAAGACUUAAGUCUUUCCUCAUGCCCACUCCGGAGGCUGUAGUAAAUCUAGUGUCCCGGGACGGAGAAACAUUAUAUUGAGCAUUUUGAUUAGCUCGCGUCCUCCAAGCAGUCGACGGCUGGUGGCGACCCAGUGACUGACACGGCAUGCUGACGGACACCUGGCCUAUAUACGCUCACCGACUGCCCAACUGCCACAUUACGCCGAUACGCUGAUCAACAGCUGGCCACUCGCUUUGUUGAUGGCCUUCCAAACGCGAAUUCAAUUACAUAUGCAGUAUAGUACAGUAUUUAUUUUAAAAGAGUGGGUAUAGAGAGAGAAUACAAAAACACAUGCGCCUUUAAAUUAGCCCAUUCGAGGAGUGGUGUCCACGUCUCAUUGGACGAACGCCAACUUCCGUAGAUCUGCACUGGGGUUAAUUUCACAGGUAAAGCAUGAAAUAUUUCCCCAAUGUAUUUCAAUAACAUUCACAUGUCUCAGGAAAACUCCACAUUCUGGGAAUUCUACCCACCUGCAGAUUUCAAUGAGUCAAGCUGCUGGGUGGGUGUGUCAGAAGUUAUUGAAAACGUGCAAGUCAGGCACGCAAAAUACUGACUUACGCACGGUUACUGCCCGCUUUACGGACGUGUCGUAUGACAGUGGAGACUGCAUUUUCUCUCUCUUGCCAAAAGAUGGCGCCCUGGGCACAAAUACCAAGCUGUGUGAUGAGGUUGAAAGAACACAUCAUAUUUGAAAAAGAUGUUGGAAAAGCUAUAGUUAUAAAAGAAGAAAAACGGAAUUUUGUGCAAAAUUCAAAGUAAGCUGGUUUCAACAUGGAAAAUAACAUCAAACAAAAAGACGAGUUUUCAGUUUGGUUGUGCAGCAUACAUACACUUGGCCUAAUUGGCUAUUUGAAUUACUAUACAUUGUCUCACGGAAACUUAACCCAAGUAUUGGCGCGUGAUGGGUUGCACUUUCCACUCCACAAUUCAAGUCAUCAAGCACUCCUGUGUUGCCAUCCCGAUAGGCGUGUCCGCUUACACUACGGGCGCCAUGGCGACAGCCAGAGGAGUGUCUGAUUGAAUUUGGCUGAGGACGGCAGGGAUGGGCAAGACAGCAAGAGGACACGAUGUCCUGACUGUGUUACAGGAGAUCGUGUGUUAGUUUGUGGGGCCUGAAGAUGUUAUCACGGGUGUUUUACGCUACAAACAAACACGAUCUGUUGGUCUGAUGUGUUUGCACCAUAAAGGGUUACAGUAUGCAAAUGAGACCAGCUACAAUUAUGAGCACAAUCUGGCGAGAUAAAAUGCAAGACAAGUUUGUAAAAGCUAAUAAUCCUCAUCAAUUCUUUCAUAGCGUUGCAGUUUGCUGUCAAGUGGUCAUGGUGGUCAGUGUCUACAGAAUACUGAAAGUAACACAUUGUGAUGUAAUGAAUUUUGUCCAGAAAAUGUUGCAAACAUCUCGUCUGAGUUCCAUUAAUCAAUUUUUAUAGCACUUGUCCUGGGGUCACAGGUGAGCUAGAGCUUCUCCUGCCUAAGCUGACGUUGGGCGGGACUUUAAUGAACCUAACAUGCAUGUUUUUGGAAGGCAGAGUACCAGGGGGGCAUGUAAACUCCCGACAGCAAGGCUCGAGCCGAGAUUCAAACCCGGAACCUUUUGACUGCAAGACAGAUAUGAAAACCACUACGUACUGACCUCUUACAUAAUUUCCCGUGCAAAAAUAAUGAACAGUACAGUUACAAAUUGUGUGUGUGGUGGUGUUUUAUUGUCCAUCUGCCAUGGCUGUCUGCUUGCUCCCACUGACUUCCUUUACAAAAGAAAAACACUCCAACAUUCAGCAAAGGAAAAAAAAAUACUCAGUGUUACAUAAGAAGAGAGAUGAAGAAGAGAGGGAUUCAGAGAUGGGAUUUGAUGCAUUUCAACUUCUUCACAUGGUUUCUCUCCUUACCUGUCGGAACAAGAGCUCCUGCUCAGCCUGCCUCUCCUCCUGCUCCUGAGGGUCAAGGGGCUCCUGCUUGAUGACCACGGAGGAAGAGGACGGUGAUGAUGAUGAGGAGGAGGAGGAGGACGAGAGACCCUGAUGCUCCCUGAGCUCCUCUUCCGUCUCCUCCGGGUGACUCUGGUGCUGCCUUGAUGACACAGAUGGCGCGGAGCUGGCAGCUGAGCACUGGUCACCGGGUUUCGACAUGAUCUGGACACAAAAUUAAAUGUGGAAAAUGCAACCUAGAUGAUACUGACCGGCAUCCAACUUAUGAAACUGAAGAUGAUGACAGUAGCCCAAUUGAGGAUAAAAGAUUCAUUAUAACACAAAAGUCAAAAUAAUUUGGCAAAAAGCCCAAAUCUGAGAAACUGCUGGUGCUGCUGCUGGACCACCAGCUGCUGCAGGGCCUGAGCUUGACCGCACUGCUGCUGGGGCAGGGGGGCCGACUGGGUACGACCCAAAGGGUGGUGGCCGCGGGCCAACUUGGAGAUAGAAGGCGACGGGAGCGGAAGGCCGCUUAAGCCAACUGCGGAACACAAAAGCACAAAUGGAGUUGGAAAGCACGCUAGACUACUUAGAUAAUAGCGGGCAGAUUGUUUUCCUUUUAAAGCUACAUGAGAAAAUUACAGUUGCAAACAAUUGUUUUAGAAAAAGUUUUCACUUGCUGAGCUAUUGUACUGCUAGUGGGAUGUUUGUGUUCUAUGAUUUUUUUUUGUUUUAUCCCUAGAUGAAAUUUUAAAUAAAACCAUUCAUCCUUUAUUAGGGCUCACUCACUAGUUUGUACACCAUGUUAUUUUACAUCCACAUUUAUAAGACAAUGUCAUAAGUUGUUAUAUCGUUCUUGAAGAGCUAUUUUGCACUGUAUAACUAAUGUUAUUUCUAGUCUUAAUGUUAGCUGUGCAUAUGCUAUGUAUGUUAACCUUGAGUUUAAAAUAAACAAAGUUUAUAUUUGCUGAUGUGUUGUAGGCUACUAGAUAAUCCAGUUGUUUAUUCAAUUAUUCCAGCAAAAUUUUCAAGAAAUGCCA